This 210-nucleotide long non-coding RNA is filed under the name Capsicum annuum. RNAcentral's name for it is "long non-coding RNA (CANN_LNC012681)". Lineage: Eukaryota; Viridiplantae; Streptophyta; Magnoliopsida; Solanales; Solanaceae. The record is from RNAcentral.
UAGUGCUUCAAUUGUUGGCCAUUCACCACAAAUUUCUUCUUCUCGUGAUCUUCCAACUCAAUAUCUCUAAUUGGGUAAACAUUCGAGAUUACGAACUGGCCCGACCACUUCUAUCUAAGCUUUCCCAUGAAAAGUUUCAAUCUUGAAUUGAAGAAGAAGACAUCAUCACGCAUAUGAAACUCUUGCUUUAGGAUUUUGGCAUCAUGCCAC